RNAcentral lists this ribosomal RNA (510 nucleotides) under uncultured bacterium. RNAcentral's name for it is "partial 16S ribosomal RNA". It matches the Rfam family "Bacterial small subunit ribosomal RNA", at positions 28 to 507 of the family's 1533-position model. The record is from RNAcentral.
GACGAACGCUGGCGGCGUGCUUAACACAUGCAAGUCGAACGAAGAGCGAUGGAAGCUUGCUUCUAUCAAUCUUAGUGGCGAACGGGUGAGUAACGCGUAAUCAACCUGCCCUUCAGGGGGGGACAACAGUUGGAAACGACUGCUAAUAUCGCAUACGAUCUAACCUCGGCAUCGAGGAUAGAUGAAAGGUGGCCUCUACAUGUAAGCUAUCACUGAAGGAGGGGAUUGCGUCUGAUUAGCUAGUUGGAGGGGUAACGGCCCACCAAGGCGAUGAUCAGUAGCCGGUCUGAGAGGAUGAACGGCCACAUUGGGACUGAGACACGGCCCAGACUCCUACGGGAGGCAGCAGUGGGGAAUCUUCCGCAAUGGACGAAAGUCUGACGGAGCAACGCCGCGUGAGUGAUGACGGCCUUCGGGUUGUAAAGCUCUGUUAAUCGGGACGAAAGGCCUUCUUGCGAAUAGUUAGAAGGAUUGACGGUACCGGAAUAGAGAGCCACGGCUAACUACGUG